CAGUAGCCGCGGUAAAACGGAGGGCGCGAGCGUUACCCGGAUUUACUGGGCGUAAAGGGCGUGUAGGCGGCCUGGGGCGUCCCAUGUGAAAGGCCACGGCUCAACCGUGGAGGAGCGUGGGAUACGCUCAGGCUAGAGGGUGGGAGAGGGUGGUGGAAUUCCCGGAGCAGCGGUGAAAUGCGCAGAUACCGGGAGGAACGCCGAUGGCGAAGGCAGCCACCUGGUCCACUUCUGACGCUGAGGCGCGAAAGCGUGGGGAGCAAACCGGAUUAGAUACCCCGGUAGUCCCUGUCUCUUAUAC
This 301-nucleotide ribosomal RNA is filed under the name uncultured bacterium. RNAcentral describes it as "partial 16S ribosomal RNA". It matches the Rfam family "Bacterial small subunit ribosomal RNA", at positions 509 to 807 of the family's 1533-position model. The record is from RNAcentral.